Molecule: non-coding RNA, 81 nt
Organism: Fomes fomentarius
Lineage: Eukaryota; Fungi; Basidiomycota; Agaricomycetes; Polyporales; Polyporaceae
Source: the annotation of a GenBank genome assembly
GGCCGGCUGGCCUAAUGGUUAAGGCGUCAGUUUCCGGAACGGAUUAGCUGAAGAUUCUGGGUUCGACUCCCAGGUUGGUCG